AGCCGUCGCGCCGUCUUGGGGUCUGCCGUCAGGUCCGAGUCGAAGGAAGGGAGAAGCCGCUCUGUCAGUGUCGCGCAGAGAGGGACUCGCCGCCAGCUCCGUCGUCCUCACUGCUGCGCCAUCGUCGGGUCCGCAAUCGUGGAGGAAGCACAGCGCCGCCGUGGGUCCCUUUUUGUCGAACUCGAAGGAGGAGGAAGGCCGAGAAUGGGCGACGCUGGGAGAGAAGGAGACGCGAGCUGGAGGAGUUGCGUCCAGUCGCCGCCGACACGCCACUGACCACCGUCGUUUCACCGCGCCGAGGGUCCCUUUCCUGCUAGAUCUGCCACCAUGAAACCCCGCAGUGCCUCUGGUUGCCGGAAAACGGUGGUGGAUGUUGGUGCUGGGAUAACGCCGCCACUGCUGCUGGCCGUUUCGAGCUGCUCCGCCAUCUCUGCCGCCGGAGAACGCAGCUUAGUCGCCGGAAAACCACUGCCGCCGCGGUUGUCGGAGUCUUUCAUCGCCGCUGCCGCUUGAGGUGGCUGACGGAGUCGCUGCCGGGUUGAUAUGGAGCUGCGGCUGCUUUGUUUCGCUAGCUCAUGUUGCUAUGGUUAUUGCGAAAGUGACUGGGAGCUGAGGUUUUGGUUGCC
Arachis ipaensis is the source of this 626-nucleotide non-coding RNA. The record is from RefSeq and is a predicted model, not a curated record. NCBI's taxonomy places the organism in Eukaryota, Viridiplantae, Streptophyta, Magnoliopsida, Fabales, Fabaceae.